CCUGCCCCCAAAACUUACUCACCAAUGCCCAUAACUUACUUGUGCCCAUAAACUUACUCACCAAUCCCCAUACACUUACUCACUACCAGGGCUGCACAUUUGAAUCUUACCAGGGCACACACUAAGAAUUAUUUGUCCUGGUAUAUUGUGGCUAAUUCUUAUGGCUCCAUAGUGUAGUGGUUAGCAUGCCUACCUAUGAAUCUGCCAGCCAGGGUUGGAAUCCCCCUCCCUGGACAGUCAUUUAAUUGUUGCCCACUUAUGAAUUUUCCCCAAAAACAUUUGAGUAAGAAUUAAUUUUGUCAUAGGUAUGUAGGUGAGUAAGGUUAGGUUAUGUUCAUCCUUCCUUUCAGGCGGGCUGGAUGUACCUAUUGUUAGACCUUGCUGUAUAGAUCUCUCUCUCUCUCUCUCUCUCUCUCUCUCUCUCUCUCUCUCUCUCUCUCU
Molecule: long non-coding RNA, 441 nt
Organism: Eriocheir sinensis (Chinese mitten crab)
Lineage: Eukaryota; Metazoa; Arthropoda; Malacostraca; Decapoda; Varunidae
Exons: 2
Source: RefSeq, a predicted model, not a curated record